Non-coding RNA from Vicugna pacos (alpaca), 394 nucleotides. Lineage: Eukaryota; Metazoa; Chordata; Mammalia; Artiodactyla; Camelidae. The record is from RefSeq and is a predicted model, not a curated record.
CGGCACUUCCCCUUUCUCCUCCGCCCUCGAAAUUCCUGCUAUUUCGAACAGUUGCCAACACAACGUUUUUCCAGGGCCCAGCAUCACCUGGCAUUGAAGAGGGACCCUGAGGGAAGGAAUAAGAACACUGAGACUGGAGAGUACAUUGUCCGAGGUCUUAGUUACAACAAAGAGGAAUUCAACUCAAAAUUAAACAAACAAACAAAAGAAGGAGGAGGAGGGGGAAAAGAAAGAAAGAGAAAAACCCAUGUACUGGAUCAGGGUCCCCAAGGAUGGUCUCAUUGGCUGGAUUGGGGUCACAUGCCCAUGCCUGGAAUCUGCACCAAGACUGGGAGAAGGCAGGGCCUACAGAGAAGAGUCAGAAUGCUGAGACCAAAGAUGGGAAGGUGAUUCU